This 408-nucleotide ribosomal RNA is filed under the name uncultured bacterium. RNAcentral describes it as "partial 16S ribosomal RNA". It matches the Rfam family "Bacterial small subunit ribosomal RNA", at positions 28 to 526 of the family's 1533-position model. The record is from RNAcentral.
GACGAACGCUGGAGGCGUGCUUAACACAUGCAAGUCGAACGAAGUGGCAAACGGGUGAGUAACGCGUAAUCAACCUGCCCUUCAGAGGGGGACAACAGAUGGAAACGACUACUAAUACCGCAUACUGAGGGCGGGGAGUGCGUUUGGUUGGCUAGUGGGAGGGGUAACGGCACAACAAGGCGAUGAUGAGUAGCCGGUCUGAGAGUAUGAACGGCCACAUUGGGCCUGAGACACGGCCCAGACUCCUACGGGAGGCAGCAGUGGGGAAUCUUCCGCAAUGGACGAAAGUCUGACGGAGCAACGCCGCGUGAGUGAUGACGGCCUUCGGGUUGUAAAGCUCUGUUAAUCGGGACGCGGUACCGGAAUAGAAAGCCACGGCUAACUACGUGCCAGCAGCCGCGGUAAUUC